UACGAGAGGCCCAAACGUUAUUCGGAAUUACUGGGCUUAAAGAGUUCGUAGGCGGCGCAGAAAGUAGGGUGUGAAAGCCCUCGGCUCAACCGAGGAAUUGCGCUCUAAACUACUGUGCUUGAGGAAUCUAGAGGUGAGCGGAACUGAUGGUGGAGCGGUGAAAUGCGUUGAUAUCAUCAGGAACACCGGAGGCGAAGGCGGCUCACUGGGGAUUUUCUGACGCUGAGGAGCGAAAGCCAGGGGAGCGAACGGG
RNAcentral lists this ribosomal RNA (253 nucleotides) under uncultured bacterium. Its description in RNAcentral is "partial 16S ribosomal RNA". It matches the Rfam family "Bacterial small subunit ribosomal RNA", at positions 524 to 776 of the family's 1533-position model. The record is from RNAcentral.